This 402-nucleotide long non-coding RNA is filed under the name Elaeis guineensis (African oil palm). RNAcentral describes it as "long non-coding RNA (EGUI_LNC010468)". The record is from RNAcentral. Lineage: Eukaryota; Viridiplantae; Streptophyta; Magnoliopsida; Arecales; Arecaceae.
GGAUGUGGAGGAUAUUCCAGAAUCAAUCAAUGUUUCGGUGGAUCCUUUGAUCUACAAUAUUCAAAUAUGCAUUAACUUUAUCUCUGAGCUAUCCCCACUAGGCUCACCCUCUUCCGUGGGGAACUCGGAUAAUGAAGAUGAAGACUAGGAUUAUUGGUUCAAAUCAGGGGGUAAAUCAUCGCCAUCGAAAAAUAGGAAAAGGUUGGCUGCACCACCUGGUAGCUCUUCAGAUAAGAGACAAGCCUUCCGACCCCAGACGGAAAGUGGUAGCCCAAUAUUAGGGCUGGAGUGUGCUAUGAAAACAUCCAACACCAUAAUGACAAACAACAAACUAAGUACUUAGAUUAGCCGCCAGUUUGUUUUGAUACUCCAUGCCUAUCUCUCGAGGCUAGACCCAUGGGC